UGGGGGAUAUUGCACAAUGGGCGAAAGCCUGAUGCAGCGACGCCGCGUGGGGGAUGAAGGCCUUCGGGUUGUAAACUUCUUUUGCUCUGAACAAGGCAUGCCUUUGGGGUGUGUUGAGUGUAGGGGUUGAUUAGCGCCGGCUAACUACGUGCCAGCAGCCGCGGUAAUACGUAGGGCGCGAGCGUUGUCCGGAAUUAUUGGACGUAAAGGGCUUGUAGGUGGCUGGUUGCGUCUGUCGUGAAAGCUCAUGGCUUAACUGUGGGUUUGCGGGGGGUACGGGCUGGCUUGAGUGCAGUAGGGGAGGCUGGAAUUCCUGGUGUAGCGGUGGAAUGCGCAGAUAUCAGGAGGAAUACCGGUGGCGAAGGCGGGUCUCUGGGCUGUUACUGACGCUGAGGAGCGAAAGCGUGGGGAGCGAACAGG
RNAcentral lists this ribosomal RNA (420 nucleotides) under Fusobacteriota bacterium. Its description in RNAcentral is "Fusobacteria bacterium partial 16S ribosomal RNA". It matches the Rfam family "Bacterial small subunit ribosomal RNA", at positions 355 to 776 of the family's 1533-position model. Lineage: Bacteria; Fusobacteriati; Fusobacteriota. The record is from RNAcentral.